CGCAGACCACUACUGGACUCUCAUUUCCUAACUCGGCCCAGCCCAUUCGCCGGUGCCCGCAGGCCGCAGCACACACACAACUUGGCGACUCGCCUCCGCCCGCGAACCGCAGCAGCGUCUCCAACUCUCCAUCGAUGGCGGAGGCGAACGUGGCAGCGGCGUCGCUCUUCGGCGCUGACGGCCGCCUCUGCUCAGCCGACAUCCUCGCGCCGCCUGAGGUCCGGGCUAGGAUCGAGGUAGCGGUGCUCAACUUCCUCGCAGCGCUAGCCUCCCCUUCCUCGCCGGCCAUCUCCGUCCUCCCCCUGAUUAGUCGGAGCUCUGCCAACUGCAGCCUGCGCAGUGGGUUGCUGAACGACGUCUCGUCGGUUUAUCUCUCAUACACCUUCUGCAAGAGGUCUCUGACGCACAAUCCAAAGGCGUUCGUAAGAGUGUGGAAGGUCAUGGAGAUGUGCUACAAGAUCUUGGGGGAGGGGAAGCUGGUCCAGCAACGGGAGCUGUUCUACAAGCUCCUGUCCGACUCACCCAAGUACUUCAGCUGUCAACGUCAUGUCAACCAAGCCAUUCAAGAUGUUGUUUCCUUGCUCCGGUGCACAAGGCAGAGCUUAGGAGUCAUGGCAUCAAGCAGAGGGGCACUCAUUGGGCGCCUUGUGUUGCAUGAACCGGACGGGGAGCAGAUUGAUUGCUCCAUUCUUGGAGCUUCAGGGCAUGCAAUUACGGGGGACCUGAACCUGUUGAGCAAAUUAAAUUUGUCUUCGGGCUCUCGGUACAUCAUUGUGGUGGAGAAGGAUGCCGUAUUUCAGAGGCUGGCUGAAGACCGCCUGUAUAAUCAGCUCCCUUGUAUUCUGAUCACUGCAAAAGGAUAUCCUGAUAUUGCCACAAGGUUCAUCUUGCAUCGACUGAGCCAGACAUUUCCGAAUAUGCCGAUUUUCGCAUUAGUGGAUUGGAACCCAGCAGGGCUUGCUAUACUGUGCACUUACAAAUACGGAAGCAUAUCAAUGGGCCUAGAGUCAUACAGAUAUGCUUGCAACGUGAAAUGGCUCGGGGUGAGAGGAGGUGAUCUGCAUCUUAUCCCCGAGGACGCGUUUCAAGAGCUGAAGCCACGUGAUCUGCAGAUUGCCAAAAGCUUGAUGUCGUCAAAGUUCCUGCAGGAGAGUCACAGAGCUGAGCUGGCGCUGAUGGUGGAGAGGGGCAAGCGUGCAGACAUCGAAGCCCUCUACUCCCACGGGUUCGAUUUCUUGGGGAAGUACAUCGCGAGAAAGAUCGUGCAGGGCGAUUACAUCUGACGAUUGGCCGCUGGAAUGUUAGCAUGGUUGCACGGAACAAUGAGCUGCAUGGACUGUAGUACAGUAGCUAUGUCCAACUGCCUGUAGACUGAAACGAUGUGGCGGUGCCCGGUGUAUGGUCCGGCACUCCGGCCGAUGCAGCCUGUGGAUGGCAGGACCGGGAAUGGAUGCAGGGUGUAGGGUGUCAGUAUACUACGCACCUUGCCGGCGAUCACCUCCGCCAUGCCUAACCUUUGCCCUGGCUUCAUCUUCGCCGUUGCAGCCUGCUUGAGGUUUGAGAGGUUUCACUGCAAGUGCAGCCGUGCAGGUACACCUGAGCGAAGAUCUUGGGCACUCAGCACUCUGGUGUGCCCCAUCGGGGCAAUGUGCGUGAGCUUCCUCAAGAACCCCCGCCCAGGCGGCGAAGAAGGCAGGCACGACUGGAUACUGUCUUCUGGCCGGGGUCACGAUCUGUCAUGCAGAUGGUGUACACGACUACCCAACUACAAGUGGCGUUAUUUGUUCAAUCAACAGGCACAGGCACCGGCACCCUAGGGAUAGCGACCAGCAGCAGCUCAGAGCGUGGGGGCAUGGUGAUCCCAGCCGCCUCCGUCACGUCCAUCUCCUCAGCAACCAUCCCCUCCGGCAUCUCCCAGUCGAAAUGGAACAGCAGAGCAGCGAGCGCGAGCUCCACAUGCGCUAGGCCCAAGGCCGCGCCAGGGCACAUCCUCCUCCCGGCGCCGAACGGGACGUACUCGAAGUCCGCCGCCCCCCUGAAGUCGUCCCUCGCGCCGUCAAGCUCCUGGAACCUCUCCGGCGCGAACUCCUCCGGCGCGUCCCAGUGCGCCGGGUCCCUGCCGAUCGCCCACGCGUUCACCAGCACCAUGGCGCCCCGCGGGACGUGGUAGCCGAGCACCUCGCGUGCGCUAAGGCACUCCCGGAGCAGCACCGGCGCCGGCGGGUGCAGCCGGAGCGUCUCCUUGAUGACUAGCCGCAGGUAGUGUAGGUCGGUGAGGCCGGCCUCCGUCACCGUGCUCUGCCCCGCGAGCGCCGACCGGACCUCGGCCUGCGCCUUCCGCAUCGCCCGAGGGUUCCGUAUCAGCUCCGUCAUUGCCCACUGCAUGGCCGUCGCCGACGUCUCGCCACCGGCAACAAACAAGUCCUGUGUGUGUGUGUGUGUCGACGAUGGCUGAAUGUGCGAUGUAACAGGGAAGGGAUUGAAGGAGAGAGGAGCAAGAUACA
Molecule: RNA transcript, 2504 nt
Organism: Zea mays
Lineage: Eukaryota; Viridiplantae; Streptophyta; Magnoliopsida; Poales; Poaceae
Exons: 14
Source: RefSeq, marked provisional